AACAAAAUUACACAGGUCUUCUAAAUCUGUUAUGGAUUCUUAAUCCUUUUGUUU
This 54-nucleotide transfer RNA is filed under the name Halicephalobus gingivalis. RNAcentral's name for it is "tRNA-Ser". Lineage: Eukaryota; Metazoa; Nematoda; Chromadorea; Rhabditida; Panagrolaimidae. The record is from RNAcentral.